UACGUAGGUGGCAAGCGUUGUCCGGAUUUACUGGGCGUAAAGAGCGCGCAGGCGGUCGGAUAAGUCGAAUGUGAAAGCCCCCGGCUCAACUGGGGAGGGUCAUUCGAUACUGUUCGACUCGAAGGUAGGAGAGGGAAGUGGAAUUCCCGGUGUAGUGGUGAAAUGCGUAGAUAUCGGGAGGAACACCAGUGGCGAAGGCGACUUCCUGGCCUGUUCUUGACGCUGAGGCGCGAAAGCUAGGGGAGCAAACGGG
Molecule: ribosomal RNA, 253 nt
Filed under: uncultured bacterium
Lineage: Bacteria
Description: partial 16S ribosomal RNA
Rfam family: Bacterial small subunit ribosomal RNA
Source: RNAcentral